RNAcentral lists this unclassified non-coding RNA (199 nucleotides) under fungal sp. RNAcentral describes it as "partial internal transcribed spacer region". The stretch from base 1 to 46 matches the Rfam family "Eukaryotic small subunit ribosomal RNA", at positions 1786 to 1831 of the family's 1831-position model. The record is from RNAcentral. Lineage: Eukaryota; Fungi.
AAGUCGUAACAAGGUUUCCGUAGGUGAACCUGCGGAAGGAUCAUUAAUGAAUUCUUUCAUAACCAUUUAUCUGUGCAUUUGUAAACCUAGCUCUGUCUUUAUGGCAUGGGCUUUAUCUCCUAUUAUCUUUGAUUGUUGAAUGUCUGAUUAUGUUUAUUAAUCAUUUUAAAACUUGCAGCAACGGAUCUCUAGGCUCUCU